CACAAACGAAUUUUAAUGUGUAACCAUCUCAAAGGACAUUAAACCUUACGAGCAAAGAGAUACUGUUAACAACCUAACGAUAUCUUCCUCGAUCUAUCACUCUCACAGAUGAACUCAGAUAGCAAUGGUGGAUUACAGGAUCACAGAUACACGAAUUGGAGGAAGGAAGGUAAGGGGAAAGGAGGGUAGCCGCCGCCGGGUUCAUUCGUGAUCCACUGGAUAGGUUGUUCGUUGCUUUUGCCCAAGUAUUUGUAGCUGCAUCGGCCAGAGGAUUCCCAGCCGGGCCAGGCCCAAGUGAUGUCCAAAGGCAAGCCCAUAUGGGGUAGGGGGAGGGCCCUGACAUCCCCCCUCCUUGAGAUUCGGCUUGCCCCCAAGCCAAUGCCACCGAGACCCGCCUGAAUCCCAUUGCACUCGAUCGUCCUUGCCCCUUGAAUGGCGCCAUUGAGAACCGCCCGGGUCCCAUUGCCGUCGGUGUUGCUUGACUAGCUUGACGUCAUGGUGGUAGUCGAAGUCGGGGUUGACUUGAACAACGAGGUUGUAGUAGUCGUGGCCGAUGGCAACCUGACCAAAGGAGGUGUCGAGGAAGUAGUCGUUGUAGACGUUGAUGUAGUACUUGUGGUCGACGUAGCCUUGCACCAAGCCGGCAGCAAGAAUGACCACGAUGGCAUUCCCUACUUCUUGAAAAUGUUCUACGUCGCAACAUUGAGAGAACGACAUACCACUCAUGGCUUGUGCUUCAUGGUUGGUGAGCAUCGACAUCAGGAUCUUCAACGACCGAGGAUUGCAAGCUGGCAUGGCAACACUCCCGGGAUCCCAUGACUUGUGCACAAUUGCAUUUUGUAUGUGUUCAUGCAUGCUUGCAUUCUCAUCAGAGUCAGGUAGUGACAUCUACUGCUGAACUAACUGAUGAAUGGGCUUGUCCAUAUGAGAUAUUUGUUCCACUUUGCCCACUAUACCAUCUAGUUCAGCAACGUCUUGUGAUGGGCCUCUCAGGAUACUGAAUGUUAUAUCCAACCAAAAGUCUCCUGCUACGCUCCACUUCCUUGUAGAAAGAAGGGAAAUAAACAUAGAUGACUUGUUGUCAGGUAGCACAAUAUCCUCAAAAUUAAUCGGCGUCCAAGAGACCUUCUUGUCAAGCAAAGAUUCACCUAUGGUGUAACGCCCCGAGACCGUUGUGCCAGGUGUCCUCCAGUUAUUCGCUGUUGUUGCCUUGUCAUGCUUGCGUGUCAUGCAUCUCAUAUCAUGUCAUCAUGUGCAUCGCAUUUGCAUACAUGUUCGUCUCAUGCAUCCGAGCAUUUUCCCCGUUGUCCGUUUUGCAUUCCAGCGCUCCUAUCUCCUCCGGUGGUCAUUUCUACCUUCUUCUCGUGUGUGGGGGUUAAACAUUUCCGGAUUGGACCGAGACUUGCCAAGCGGCCUUGGUUUACUACCGGUAGACCGCCAGUCAAGUUUCGUAACAUUUGGACUUUGUUUGAUACUCCAACGGUUAACCGAGGGACCGAGAAGGCCUCGUGUGUGUUGCAGCCCAACACCCUUCCAAAGUGGCCCAAAACCCACCUAAACCUCCUCCAUCAUCUCGGUCGUUCGAUCACGAUCGCGUGGCCGAAAACCGCACCUCAUUUGGACUCUCCUAGCUCCCUCUACAUAUAAAUAUGUGCUCCCCUCCCGAAAUUCGCGGUGCAAAAUUUAAAAUCCCUCCCCUCGCGCCACCGGACAAAUCCUCCCACGCCGGACAAUGUCCGCGCCGCCGCGUCGGAACAAUCCGGGCGUGCCACGUCUCCCCUGGCCGUCUCCAGCCACCCUUGGGCCGCCAUGUGGCGUCGCCACCUCACCCCAGCGCUCCCCACCGUCGCCGGCCCUGCGAGCCCUGCCACAGCCCACCUGAGCCCAUCUGGGGCUCGGGACAGCCCCCGCGUCGCCUCCCGCUCCCUCGUCCCCGAGCUCCAGGGGAGGGAGCUCCCGCACCAGGCCCCGUCGGCGUCCUCGCCGGAGCUGCUCGCCGGAGCAGCAACGAGCUCCACCAGGUCGACCCCGUCCCUCUCCUCUCCCUUUUAUCUCUCUUCUCUUUUUCUCUCCCUGACCUCUCUGCGCUUCCAUGUGGUCAGCGCCGCCACUAGGGCUCCCUCGCCAACGCCCACGACGAACCGCCGUUGGAUCCAGCCGGAAUUGACCCGGCGCGACCAGAUCUGGUCAUCUCCAUGUCCCCGCGACCUCCCCGCCGUUGUUGCGCCGUCGCCGGCGUGCGCCGUCGCCGCCGUCUCUGCCUUUCGGUUCAUGCGGGCACGAGGAGGAAGAGCGCCUCUCGUGUGGGCCCCGCGUGGGCCGAUGCAGCCCAAGGCCCAGCUCCCGGCCCAGUCGCCCGGCCUGCUGUUUCCACCGCCUUGGGAAAAGGCCCACUGGGUGAGAACCCCGCUGUGCACUGUUGGCCCAGUCCGAUUCGGCCCGCCUCUAUUUUUUCCAGAUCUACAAUUUGUCUAUUUUUCCAGAGGAGAGCAUUUUUGCAGGAAAACCCUUGUGGAUCAUGCAUAUAAUAACUCAUGAAUUGUGCAUCGGAUCUAAGUAAGUUAUAUAUGAAACUUGCUUAGAAUUUUUUCUAGAUUCAUAAUAUCCAACUUUCAUCUAUGUUUGAAAUGUUUAAAAUGCUGUUUGAUUAAAUUUGCUCCUAUGUCAUGUUAAAAUGCUUUAAUUCAUAACUAAAUAAUCGUAGCUCGGAUUUAAACAAACUUUAUAUGUAAAUGGGGUAGAAAAAUGCCUAGUAUAACAUGGUGGCAUCACUUUGCAUGUUUAACAACUAUAAAAUAUGGUUUAGGGCAGAACAGUACCAAAUCUAUAAUAUGCUCAUGAGGAGUUUUUGGAUUUGUUGUUCGAUAUUCCGGCCUCAUUUAAACUUGCCUAGAUAGAUAGUUUUAUUGUGCUUCACCCUCUUGCCAUGUUAAUAAACAUUUAAUCUUGUUGGGUACAUAAACGAGAGAGAACUAAAUAAGUCAUGUGGUGUUUUCUUCAAUAUGCAACUCCGUUGCAUAAUGAGCUCCACUUAAUUUGUAGGAUUGUUUGUGCAUUUUGCCAUGCCAUGCCAUGUAUCAUUAAACCGGACAUACAUCAUACUUGGUUGUGCAUCAUGCCAUGUCCACGUGUUGUUUAUUUACUAUGUUGUGUGCUUCUUUCCGGUGUUGCUUCUUCGGGUUGGUUCCGUUAACGUCGCGUUUGUGAGGAACCGUUCGACUACGCUCGUUUUUCUUCUUCAUGGACUCGCUCUUCUUCCUUGCGGGAUCUCAGGCAAGAUGACCAUACCCUCGAAAUCACUUCUAUCUUUGCUUGCUUAGUUGCUCACUCUUUUGCUAUGCCUAUGCUGCGAUACCUACCACUUGCUUAUCAUGCCUCCUAUAUUGUUGAACCAAGCCUCUAACCCACCUUGUCCUAGCAAACCGUUGAUUGGCUAUGUUACCGCUUUGCUCAGCCCCUCUUAUAGCGUUGUUAGUUGCAGGUGAAGAUUGGAGUUUGUUCAAUGUUGGAACAUGGAUAUUUUGUUGGGAUAUCACAAUAUCUCUUAUUUAAUUAAUGCACCUAUAUACUUGGUAAAGGGUGGAAGGAUCGGCCUUAUGCCUAGUGUUUUGUUCCACUCUUGCCGCCCUAGUUUCCGUCAUAUCGGUGUUAUGUUCCUGGAUUUUGCGUUCCUUACACGGUUGGGUUAUAAUGGGAACCCCUUGACAGUUCGCCUUGAAUAAAACUCCUCCAGCAAGGCCCAACCUUGGUUUUACCUUUUGCCACCUAGCCUUUUUCCCUUGGGAGUCACGCAUCCCGAGGGUCAUCUUAUUUUAACCCCCCCGGGCCAGUGCUUGUCUAAGCGUUGGUCCAAACUAGAGCCCCUUGCAGCGCCACCUCGGAGAAACUCGAGGGCUGGUUUUAGUUGUACGGAUUGCUUAUCCGGUGUUGCCCUGAGAACGAGAUAUGUGCAGCUCCUAUCGGGAUGUCGGCACAUCGGGUGGUCUUGCUGGACUUGUUUUACCAUUGUCGAGGAUGUCUUGUAGAACCGGGAUACCGAGUCUGAUCGGAAUGUCUCGGGAGGAGGUCUAUUCCUUCGUUGACCGUGAGAGCUUGUCAUGGGCUAAGUUGGGACACCCCUGCAGGGAUUUGAACUUUCGAAAGUCGUGCCCGCGGUUAUGGGAAGAUGGGAAUUUGUUAAUGUCCGGUUGCAGAAAACCUGAAGUUGACCUUAAUUAAAAUACAUCAACCACGUGUGUAACCGUGAUGGUCUCUUCUCGGUGGAGUCUGGGAAGUGAACACGGUGUUGGAGUUAUGCUUGACGUAGGUUGUUUUAGGAUCACUUCUUGAUCAUACUUUUAUCGACCGUGCUUUGCCUUCUCUUCUCGCUCUCACUUGCGUAUGUUAGCCACCAUAUAUGCUAGUCGCUUGCUGCAGCUCCACCUCACCCUUUUACCUUACCCAUAAGCUUAAAUAGACUUGAUCGCGAGGGUGCGAGAUUGCUGAGUCCCCGUGGCUCACAGAUACUUCAAAAACCAGCUCGCAGGUGCCGAUGAGACCGUGCAGGUGACGCAAGCAAGCUCAAGGAGGAGCUCAAUGAAGAUCUUGUCCUUUGUUUUGUUUCAUUCUAGUUGAUCAGUAGUGGAGCCCAGUUGGGGUCGAUCGGGGACCUUGUCGCAUUUGGGGUUCUUCUUUUAUUUUGGUUCCGUAGUCGGACCUUGAUUGUAUCUGGAUGAUGUAAUGCUUUAUUCAUGUAUUUGUGUGAAGUGGUGAUUGUAAGCCAACUAUGUAUCUCUUUUUCCUUAUGUAUUACAUGGGGUAUGUGAAGAUUACCUCACUUGCGACAUUGCUUUCAAUGCGGUUAUGCCUCUAAGUCGUGCUUGACACGUGGGAGAUAUAGCCGCAUCGAUGACGUUACAAGUUGGUAAUCAGAGCCUUCCCCGACCUUAGGAGCCCCCACUGAUUGAUCGUUCUUAGAAGCUGUUGUUGAGUCUAGAAAAAAUGUUUUGAGUCAUUUAGGAAUUAUAUAUCGGAGAGUUUAGGAAUUCUUUUUACUCCCCAGUCUCCUCACCGCUCUGGUAAGGCAUCCUGACGUAGAGUUUUGACUCUUCUCUUCUCAAAUUUCACUAAAUUUUUUUAGGAUCACGCGGGUAUCUUGGAAUCGUUCCGAUGGUUUUGUGACGAGAACAUUGUCUUGGUGCCUCCUGUCAGGGGUUUUGUGGAAGUGUCCCGGGGAGUUGAGCUCUGAGGUGUUGUCGUCAUAAUUUUAUCGUUGCAGUUCUGGAAUACCUGAGUUUAUUACGCCGACAUCGAAAAUCUCUUUUAUGCAGUUCGUUGGUGAGAUAACCUCGACGCCACCCAGUACUGGGGCGGGAGUUCGGGAGUAUUGCCAUAACUCGUAUAACGGAUGCUUUUCGAAGGUUGAGGUAGACGAUUUCCGAAGGUUUCUUGGUUAUGUGUUGAAGGAUGGAUACAACUGGAUGUAGGAUUUGUUAGUUUUGGGUGAGAUAUUAUGCUUCCCCUGAAUCCCCAACACCUGAUUGCAUAACCGGAAAGGUUCGGGAGUUUCAUAAGUGGGAAUUCAAGUAGCUCUUAGGAUAUCUUUUCGACAGAUGUAUGAUAUGAAAUUGGGGUUCGACGUCUAGUGGUCCGCCUAUCCACGGUCGGUUUUACAGUGGUCUCGUUGUGUCUUAAAGAGUCCUUGGCUUUGCCGACUCGGGGACGCUUCGUAUGUCAUGUGCACUGCCUUGUACAUGAUGGUGCUGUACGAUCGAGCCCGUGUAGGCCCCACCACGAAAACUUCGGACAAAAUCUCUAUCAUAUGUUUGUUCCGGCUUAUUCGGCAAGCCAAUCCUUGUUUUGUUUUUGAGUUGUGGUAUUCGAGUUGCUUCGAAGUCAAGUGUUGAUUCCAUACCUUUCCUAAACGGUGUUCUCAUACUCCGAUGUGAAUACAAAUCCUUCAUGAUAAUCGAGAUUGUCAUGUCAAUCCUUUGCACCGAUGUGCUUCUCUUCAAGUGGAUCCGAUCAUUUCAACAUCCGCAAGAUCAAUUCUAAGUUUCUCAAUGGUGUUCGUUUCAUCCAUUCCAAAUUGUCUUUGUUUUUCCCACCCUCCCUCCCUUGUUUUUCUUCAAGGAUUCAGAUUUCUUAAUCACUAUCCAUUUUAUUGAUGGAAGUCCCUCCGUUCUAUUUCCUUCAUGUUCUUAUCCGGUGAUUCUCAUGAAGAUACUAACGGAGCUUCUAGUUCAUCAUUCUUCAUUUCUUUUAUCUUCUCCGGUGGUUUCAAGUCAAGCUUUGUUGAUCUUACCCUUUCCUCUUUUCAAUGUCUUCUCAUACCGGUGCACCUCAUAAUAAUUCACUUCUCACUAUUCUUUUGUUUCGGCGUGCUCAAGCUUUCUCAAAAGGCUCGUCUUGUCAUUCAAGAUCCGUUCAACCUAGUUCGAGGUUGUUAUCUUAUUCAAGCCAUUUAAUUCAACUGGUGCAAUAUCUCUUUUCAAGUAAUCAUUUCAACGGUGUUUCUUUUGAGUGGGCCCUAACCCACAGGUCUUUUCCCAGGAUCUUACCUGACUCUUCUUAUUUUCCCGGAGCUAUCCUAAAUUCUUUUUGAAGUUUGACGUAAGAAUGAGUUAUCAUCAGUCAAAUGCCUUCUCCAAGAUCUUUCACACUAUUUUCAUCGUUGGCUCAACCUUUUCCAUUCUUCAUUCGGAGUGCCUCAACAAUUCAUGGUGGUGUUCCUCAUCGUCAUUCUCUGCAGUUGGAGACCGAAGAAGAGUUUCUUUUAAAUAUUGCCCCAUUCUCUGCCAUCCUCUCAUAAUUGUUUUCGUUUGUGAGAUUUUCACCCAUCCAGAGUAAUUCAGGAGUCUUUUCAGUUUGAUUCUCUGAAGUCCAUCAUUUCGGGAUUAUUCAUUCUCAGCUUUCAGCUAUCAUUCUCCAAAUUUUACCGGUGCAUCGUUCAAGUGAUCUUUAAUCGGCUCGUGAUCUCUUCGUUCUCAUGUUUCUAAAUCCUCUAAAUCUAUGUUCAUUUUAUAAUUCUUCCCGGUGUUUUCUUUGCCUUUACUUCAAUCGUUUUUCAAUUCUUACGGUGGUUCGUUCAAGAUCUCUCUUCCGUAUCAAUUCAUUCGUUCUUUCAAUCCCGACGGGUGAUUUGUUGAAGACCUUCUCAAGUUGGCGCUAUAUCUGUCUUAAUGCUCGCUACGAGAAUAAGUAGUAUGUCAAAUCCGUUGAUUGUCAUCAAUUUAAUUGAUGAAGGAUAAACAUAAUGUAAUUCUUAUUCUUGUUUCAUCGAGUAAAUUCAAUUCCUUAUUUCGGAGCCUCAUCAAAACUCUCGGUUUCACUUGUUUAAUCUUUAUUUCCGGAGCUCAAAGUUAUUUAAUUAUAUCAUUCCAAAGAUCUAUCUAAUCAUUGCAAGGAUUCACCUUGUGUUUUCAACUUCUCUUUCCUUUCGAUUGAUCAUUCUUUUAUUACCGGAGUUCUUCAUGGAGGCUCUACAUGAUGGUUCAUCAAGGAUUUAAUUCCUUCUCAAAGUGUUCAUUGAGAUUCUUUUCAGAGGAGCUCAAGCAUUCUCCAUCUUGCAAUCCGAGUGCAAUUCCCUCUACCAUAUCAUCGGAGGUGGUAUUAUGUCAUUCUUGAUAAUUUGAGUUCAUGUUUCAUGAUUCACAGGUUGUUAAGAAUGGGGUAUUUUAAAUCCAUCAACCUAUUCGUUGGAAUUACCUUGGGUUAUAUUUCACCUAGAGCGUUCCCUAAGGAUUGUUGCUACUUAUGGUGCUUAUAAAUGACCCAAGUUCUUCAUCUAUCCUCCCGGUGAAUAGGUUUCUCGUCUCCUUGUUGAUAUCAACCCAAUCUUUGAUUUUGUUAGUGGCAGGUUGUCACCUCAUAAUUUGAGAUGUAUUCCAUAAGACCAUGGCAAGUUUAUCCUUUUUCGUUGCUGGUGUUCCAACAACUCCAUUCGACCCUUCUCCUAAGGAUGCCUUAUCAAACUCUUUUGUGGCAAAAGUUGGCAUUUUCUUCUCCAUUCUUUUAUUUUAAUCAUCUAUCUUCUAUUUCUUUCUCCUGGAGGCAUUGUGUUGUUUCUCUCUUCGAACCUUCUUCUUGUCCUUGUCAUGCUUAUCCUUUUAACCGGAGUGUUGUGCCCCUUUGCUCAUGCUCUUUCAUUUUAUCAAGUCUUUCAUCUCUUUCCAACUGGAGUGUUGUCCGAAUUUGCUCUUCCUUGUUUUCCUCUUCCCUACCGGAGUGCUUUCAACUGCAUUCAUCUCCGUUGUAUUCUUUUCUCCAUAUGGAUUAACCUCUUCAAGGUUCCUUGGUUUCACUCGUUUUCCAAAGAAGCAAUUUAGUUUUACCUCUUCUCUUUCUCUUCCGUUUGUCCCUCCGGUGCCAUUCUAGAUCUUGGGACGAGAUCCUCUCGUAGUGGUGGAGUGUUGUAACGCCCCGAGACCGUUGUGCCAGGUGUUCUCCAGUUAUUUGCUGUUGUUGCCUUGUCAUGCUUGCAUGUCAUGCAUCUCAUAUCAUGUCAUCAUGUGCAUCGCAUUUGCAUACAUGUUCGUCUCAUGCAUCCAAGCAUUUUCCCCGUUGUCUGUUUUGCAUUCCGGCGCUCCUAUCUCCUCCGGUGGUCAUUUCUACCUUCUUCUCGUGUGUGGGGGUUAAACAUUUCCGGAUUGGACCGAGACUUGUCAAGCGGCCUUGGCUUACUACCGGUAGACCGCCUGUCAAGUUUCGUACCAUUUGGACUUCGUUUGAUACUCCAACGGUUAACCGAGGGACCGAGAAGGCCUCGUGUGUGUUGCAGCCCAACACCCUUCCAAAGUGGCCCAAAACCCACCUAAACCUCCUCCAUCAUCUCGGUCGUUCGAUCACGAUCGCGUGGCCGAAAACCGCACCUCAUUUGGACUCUCCUAGCUCCCUCUACCUAUAAAUAUGUGCUCCCCUCCCGAAAUUCGCGGUGCAAACCUUAAAAUCCCUCCCCUCGCGCCACCGGACAAAUCCUCCCACGCCGGGCAAUGUCCGCGCCGCCGCGUCGGACCAAUCCGGGCGUGCCACGUCGCCCGUGGCCGUCUCCAGCCACCCCUGGGCCGCCAUGUGGCGUCGCCACCUCACCCCAGCGCUCCCCACCGCCGCCGGCCCUGCGAGCCCUGCCGCGGCCCACCUGAGCCCAUCUGGGGCUCGGGACAGCCCCCGCGUCGUCUCCCGCUCCCUCGUCCCCGAGCUCCAGGGGAGGGAGCUCCCGCACCAGGCCCCGUCGGCGUCCUUGCCGGAGCUGCUCGCCGGAGCAGCAACGAGCUCCACCAGGUCGACCCCGUCCCUCUCCUCUCCCUUUUCUCUCUCUUCUCUUUUUCUCUCCCUAACCUCUCUGCGCUUCCACAUGGUCAGCGCCACCACCAGGGCUCCCUCGCCGACGCCCACAACGAACCGCCGUUGGAUCCGGCCGGAAUGGACCCGGCGCGACCAGAUCCGGUCAUCUCCAUGUCCCCGCGACCUCCCCGCCGUUGCUGCGCCGUCGCCGCCGUCUCUGCCUUUCGGUUCGUGCGGGCACGAGGAGGAAGAGCGCCUCUCGUGUGGGCCCCGCGUGGGCCGAUGCGCCCCAAGGCCCAGCUCCCGGCCCAGUCGCCUGGCCUGCUAUUUCCACCGCCUUGGGAAAAGGCCCACUGGGUGAGAACCCCGCUGUGCACUAUUGGCCCAGUCCGAUUCGGCCCGCCUCUAUUUUUUUCAGAUCUACAAUUUGUCUAUUUUUCCAGAGGAGAGCAUUUUUGCAGGAAAACCCUUGUGGAUCAUGCAUAUAAUAACUCAUGAACCGUGCAUCGGAUCUAAAUAAGUUAUAUAUGAAACUUGCUUAGAACUUUGUCUAGAUUCAUAAUAUCCAACUUUCAUCUAUGUUUGAAAUGUUUAAAAUGCUGUUUGAUUAAAUUUGCUCCUAUGUCAUGUUAAAAUGCUUUAAUUCAUAACUAAAUAACCGUAGCUCGGAUUUAAACAAACUUUAUAUGUAAAUGAGGUAGAAAAAUGCCUAGUUUAACAUGGUGGCAUCACUUUGCAUGUUCAACAACUAUAGAAUAUGGUUUAGGGCAGAACAGUACCAAAUCUAUAAUAUGCUCAUGAGGAGUUUCCGGAUUUGUUGUUCGAUGUUCCGGCCUCAUUUAAACUUGCCUAGAUAGGUAGUUUUAUUGUGCUUCACCCUCUUGCCAUGUUAAUAAACAUUUAAUCUUGUUGGGUACAUAAACGAGAGAGAACUAAAUAAGUCAUGUGGUGUUUUCUUCAAUAUGCAACUCCGUUGCAUAAUGAGCUCCACUUAAUUUGUAGGAUUGUUUAUGCAUUUUGCCAUGCCAUGCCAUGUAUCAUUAAACCGUACAUACAUCAUACUUGGUUGUGCAUCAUGCCAUGUCCACGUGUUGUUUAUUUACUAUGUUGUGUGCUUCUUUUCGGUGUUGCUUCUUCGGGUUGGUUCCGUUAACGUCGCGUUUGUGAGGAACCGUUCGACUAUGUCCGUUUGUCUUCUUCAUGGACUCGCUCUUCUUCCUUGCGGGAUCUCAGGCAAGAUGACCAUACCCUCGAAAUCACUUCUAUCUUUGCUUGCUUAGUUGCUCGCUCUUUCGCUAUGUCUAUGCUGCGAUACCUACCACUUGCUUAUCAUGCCUCCUAUAUUGUUGAACCAAGCCUCUAACCCACCUUGUCCUAGCAAACCGUUGAUUGGUUAUGUUACCACUUUGCUCAGCCCCUCUUAUAGCAUUGUUAGUUGCAGGUGAAGAUUGGAGUUUGUUUAAUGUUGGAACAUGGAUAUUUUGUUGGGAUAUCACAAUAUCUCUUAUUUAAUUAAUGCAUUUAUAUACUUGGUAAAGGGUGGAAGGCUCGGCCUUAUGCCUAGUGUUUUGUUCCACUCUUGCCGCCCUAGUUUCCGUCAUAUCGGUGUUAUGUUCCCGGAUUUUGCGUUCUUUACGCGGUUGGGUUAUAAUGGGAACCCCUUGACAGUUCGCCUUGAAUAAAACUCCUCCAGCAAGGCCCAACCUUGGUUUUACCUUUUGCCACCUAGCCUUUUUCCCUUGGGAGUCGCGCAUCCUGAGGGUCAUCUUAUUUUAACCCCCCCGGGCCAGUGCUUGUCUAAGCGUUGGUCCAAACUAGAGCCCCUUGCAGCGCCACCUCGAAGAAACUCGAUGGCUGGUUUUAGUUGUACGGAUUGCUUAUCCGGUGUUGCCCUGAGAACGAGAUAUGUGCAGCUCCUAUCGGGAUGUCGGCGCAUCGGGUGGUCUUGCUGGACUUGUUUUACCAUUGUCGAGGAUGCCUUGUAGAACCGGGAUUCCGAGUCUGAUCGGAAUGUCUCGGGAGGAGGUCUAUUCCUUCGUUGACCGUGAGAGCUUGUCAUGGGCUAAGUUGGGACACACCUGCAGAGAUUUGAACUUUCGAAAGCCGCGCCCGCGGUUAUGGAAAGAUGGGAAUUUGUUAAUGUCCGGUUGUAGAAAACCUGAAGUUGACCUUAAUUAAAAUACAUCAACCGCGUGUGUAACCGUGAUGGUCUCUUCUCGGCGGAGUCCGGAAAGUGAACACGGUGUUGGAGUUAUGCUUGACGUAGGUUGUUUUAGGAUCACUUCUUGAUCAUACUUUUAUCGACCGUGCUUUGCCUUCUCUUCUCGCUCUCACUUGCGUAUGUUAGCCACCAUAUAUGCUAGUCGCUUGCUGCAGCUCCACCUCACCCUUUUACCUUACCCAUAAGCUUAAAUAGACUUGAUCGCGAGGGUGCGAGAUUGCUGAGUCCCCGUGGCUCACAGAUACUUCAAAAACCAGCUCGCAGGUGCCGAUGAGACCGUGCAGGUGACGCAACCAAGCUCAAGGAGGAGCUCGAUGAAGAUCUUGUCCUUUGUUUUGUUUCGUUCUAGUUGAUCAGUAGUGGAGCCCAGUUGGGGUCAAUCGGGGACCUUGUCGCAUUUGGGGUUCUUCUUUUAUUUUGGUUCCGUAGUCGGACCUUGAUUGUAUCUGGAUGAUGUAAUGUUUUAUUCAUGUAUUUGUGUGAAGUGGCGAUUGUAAGCCAACUAUGUAUCUCUUUUCCCUUAUGUAUUAUAUGGGUUGUGUGAAGAUUACCUCACUUGCGACAUUGCUUUCAAUGCGGUUAUGCCUCUAAGUCGUGCUUCGACACGUGAAAGAUAUAGCCGCAUCGAGGGCGUUACAUAUGGCUUUCUUACUGAAGCAAGACAACUGAGCAAGAAUAAUGAUGUUAAGUGGCCUUGGGGACUCCAGCUGAAACAAUGCAAAAUAAUUCCCAGGCUCUGUAACAUGUUGCUGCAACUUAGCUACAAUAGGUUUCUGUAUCAAAUGGUGAACAGGUCCAGUAGUGUCGUCAAACAAGUACUUCGCUGGUAGAUCGCUUGGGAAGGCUGUGGCGAUAUGUACCAUAAGCUGUUGAUAAGCAUUUCCACCCAGCAUUAUUUCACCAAAUGAGGAGCGAAACUCGAAAGGGACCAGUAGUACAGUAAGCGGAAUUCUAGCUCCAGAACCACCAAUCAUUUGUUUAGAAUUGCAGUUCAUAUCAAGAUGGUCACUCCUCUUAUAUUCCCUUUGACUCAAAAAUAGCCAAUACAUGCUCAUGGUCCUCAUGGUCCCUAGCAACUUCUCAUGCCAAGGAAUAUUACAUGUAGCAGCUUGCUCCAGAAAGUGAUGUUCCGACAAGUUCCACUGCUCCUGGCUUUGAUGCACAAUGUCACCAGCACCCCAUAAUUUCUCAAGGCAAAAACAGCCAGCCAACUCACUGAUGUGCACAUGAUUAAUAAACUGAUGCUCAAUAAAUUCUACAAUUUGUAGUUCAGACAAACCAUGCACUUCUCGAGGAUUGUUGGAUGGUAGCAGAAACUGAAAAUCAUGCCUAAGGCAGGGCCUGCAGACAGUUGUUUUCCGCACAAAACUGAGAGUCCAUGCAACUCCACAUUGUAAUUGUUCAAAAGAACUAGGGAGAUCAGACUGAAUGGUGAAAUCAUUGCUAUUUGUUCCGGGAUGUGCACAAUAACAGAUCAUCUCACUACCACAAUCGUGCUUAGUGGAAACCAAGAAAGUGAGUUGCUCUUGUUCAGCAAAUGCACAAAGUUCAGAAAACCACUGUUUACUGUAAUGAAAGAGCUUCACAUGUGUAUUGAGGCAUGAAUCAUCUUCAUCUUGUUGCAAAGACCACAAACAUAGGAGCUGACCUGGGAAUAUCCUUAUGCCGUUUCCAAGAAGACCACACACAAGAUUUCCAACAUGGCUUAAUUCCAUCAGAAAUCUACUACUAAUCAAACCACUGUCAUGCACUUGAACUAACAUAAUUAGAUGCUUCAUGAACCUUCCAAUUAGAAACGAUGGCCAUGGAAUGGGUCGGACCUCGUUUCCGUCUGCUGAUACAAGAUGCACACAAUCACACUUCUCUAAUGGCACACUGACUUCAAACGACUUCAGUCGCACACUUGGUAGAUACCUCCAGUAUUCUCUCAAAAAAUUCAGAGCAACCGGCAAACGCUGCACCACAUAAGUAACUUGCAACAGCAGCCCUUCAUAAUUCAGAGUCGUGCCUUCAAGAGAACCAGCAAACGACGGCCACGGCGCGGGCCGUACAUCAUUGCCGUCAGCAAAAUGCAUCUGAAAUGAUGACCACGGAGUCGGUCGGACCUCGUUUCCCUCUGCAAUAUGAUCCACCAGAAACGAUGGCCAUGGUGACGCCCGUAUCAGCAGCCCUGCAUGCCCCGGCGAGACGUCCAGGUCGUGGUUCCGGAACGGCUGCACGACGGCAUCGGUGCCCGAGUGAAUGAGAUCCGUGACGAGCAUUGGUGCGGCUGUUGAGAGGAGCGGCACUGUCAUGACUGAAGGUGGGAACGCCCUCGUGUUGUUGUCCUGGUUCGAGCAUUCUGUCGAACAGGUCACGGGCUUGUCAUUGAUGGAGUCCUCGGACGCAUCGUGGGGGACCACCCGGGCCUCAGUGGUGGAGGAGGGGGUGCCGGGGAGGACGGCGAGCUCGGUGACGACUUCUGGAAUAUCCUCCACCCAUGUGUGCUCGUCCAUGCCCGUGUCGGGGACGUGGCGGUUGCUGUCGAGGGAAGACUCAGGGGAUGUGUCGUGGACCUCCUCGUCGAUGGUGGGUGAAGUAGUCGUGGAUGCGAGGUCGAUGUGAGACGAGGUAGCAGUAGCAGGAGGAGGGGAGGCAGGCAGAUCGACUUGUGAGGUAGCCCCGACUGGAUCGCCCGCACGCGCGGCCGCGAACUCGGACUUGAUGCUAUCCAUCUGCGCCGAUAGCUGCGCGAGAAACCACAACAUCUGCUCGUCUGCGGUCAUGGUGUCCCACUCCGGUGGAUAGACCAGGGAACAAGGAGACUGCUCCUGAUCGGACAUGGUGCCGUCGCCGGUGGAAAUUGGGAAAUCGAGGAGGUGGUGGUGAAAUUUACUGGCUCUGAAUACCAGAUGUUAACAACCUAACGAUAUCUUCCUCGAUCUAUCACUCACAGAUGAACUCAAAUAACAAUGGUGGAUUACAGGAUCACAGAUACACGAAUUGGAGGAAGGAAGGUAAGGGGAAAAGAGGGGACGGGGCUUGCCUGCUCCUGUCCCGUGCUCCCAUCUGUACUCCCAUUGCUAAUUUUUCAUCUAACGGCAGCGCCAGAUUCCCUUCCCCGCGUGCCUUUUCUGCCAAAAUAAAUAAAUACCCGAGCUCCCGUAUUCCCGUAUAUCCCUCGCCCUCAGUCCCUCACGUAAUAUCCACAACUGUUUUUGGAGGGAAAAUGUCCGCCAAACUAACUAUUGGCGCCAAUAUAGAAAACAGAGGCACUAGGCAAAUCUUUACAAACACAAGAUCCUAAAUACCAGGUGGAAGAGAUUUCAAUCUGGAGCCUGAUUGCAUCCACAAACCAAAUUCAGGCAGAUAGCAAAGUGUGCAAAUAUCAAGCGAUCCGAGGUUUAAAGUAAGGAAAUCAUUGUCCUCUAUGGCUUCUUCAAGCAGUGGUCAUGAGAACCAUGAACACGGCAAUGGAUCUUCAGGACCAAAAGUAAGAAAUCGGACUCGUAUUCUUCUUUAUCUCCUCUUUUCAUUGUUCUUGUCCUUCUUGUUGAACUAGUUGCACCAUUUCCUCUGCUGAAGAACAAAUCAAAAAUGUUGAUGAUUGUAUAAGAUCUAUGCAAAUCUGACACAAAAGGAAUAGCAGUUCUGCACAACUUACUUUGUCAGGUCAAUCAUGUUAUUUCACUCAUAUAUACAAGAAUAUGUUAUUCUUUCGAGGCCUACUGUAUGUAAUAAAAUCAGAUGUCUGAUUGUUGUUUUAGCCAUAAUCAAUAUUAGUUUCACAAAAUCAACAUUAUGAUCUUCUGCAAUUGACUUAGAUUCUGGUAGUUGAAAAAUAAUUUAGUGUACACGUAGUAUUCAAUUAGUGUGUUGUUUCACAAAUCUAACUGCCGAACAUAUGAGUAUUAACUAAAGCGAAUACUGAUUCAUAUAGGAUGUGCAUGAAACUGCUCCUAGCAAUGCAACAGAUUGCAUUGAUGAAAGGGUACCAAAGGUUGGCAUGCAAUUUGUAUCUGAAGAGGAAGCUUACUCCUUUUAUAACAAGUAUGCAAAGGCUAUUGGUUUUAGCAUCCGAAGAGGGAGUCAACAUAAAGUAAAGAAUUCUUCCGUGAUACAACAAAGAACAUUUACAUGCUCCCGUCAAGGUAUGGGCUGCUUGUAUUUUGUUUUGGUUAUAUAACUAUUGGUAUCACUAAGAUACUUAUUUCAAUUGACAGGAUUCCGUGCAGAAGAUAAGAGAGAGGAUUCUUUCAGUUACAGUAGGCCCGAAACACAAUGUGGCUGUCAAGCCCAUAUGAAGAUAAGUCUCAAAAACGGAUUAUAUUAUGUGUAUGAAUUUGAGGCUGCACAUAAUCAUAAUCUUGCUACUGGAGACAUGGCCUUAUACUUAAGAUCCCAAAGAAAAGUGACGGAAGCACAAAUAGCAAACGCUGAGGUCGCAAAGUCUGUAGGCAUUUUGAAUAAAGCAACUAUUGAUCUUAUGGCCAAAGAAGCAUGUGGACUUCCAAAUCUUGGGUUUGCACCUAAAGAUAUGAAAAAUCGUUUAUACUCUAAGAGAACAUUGCAAGCAAAGAAAGGAGACACAGGGGGAGUGUUAGAAUACAUGGAGAAGAAGGUAAAAGAAGAUGCCAAUUUUUUCUAUUCAAUUCAAGUUGAUGAGGAUGAUCUGAUAACUAAUAUUUUCUGGGCUGACUCGAAAAUGAUAUCGGACUAUGCAAUGUUUGGUGAUGUUAUAUGCUUUGACACCACAUAUAGGAAACUAGAUGAUGGGCGUCCCUUUGGUUUGAUUGUUGGGGUGAAUAAUCACAAGAAAACUAUGGUCUUUGGUGCUACACUUCUCUAUGAUGAAACUGCUGAAAGUUUUGGUUGGCUUUUUAGAACAUUUCUAACAGCCAUGUCUGGGAAACAUCCAAGGACUAUUCUGACCGAUGAAGAUGCAGCAAUGGCCAAGUCAAUUAGUAAAGUCCUUCCUCACUCUCACCAUAGACUUUGCGUGUGGCAUAUGAAUCAAAAUGCUUGCAAGCACCUUGCUGGGGUUGUUGAAGAAUAUAAGAAGUUCAAUGCUGAUUUUCAGCAUUGUAUCUAUGAUAUUGAGGAAGAAGAAGAUUUUAUAAAUGAAUAAAAUAGAAUGCUAGACAGAUAUGGACUACGUGACAAUACGUGGCUGCAAAGGUUGUUUGAGAAAAGGGAGCAAUGGGCACUAGUGUAUGGCAGAAAUACAUUCUCAGCCCACAUGAGCACUACCCAAAGAAGUGAAAGCAUGAAUAAUGAACUAAAGCGGUACAUUAGUAUUAAAUAUGACAUGCUUACUUUUUUCGAGCAUUUUGAGCACCUAGUUGCGGAUAAAAGAUUUGUAGAGGUCAAGUGUGACUUCAAGGCCUCACAAAGUACUCCCAAGCUGAAGGCAGAAGGAAGCUAUGUGUUAAGGCAAGCCGCAAGUACAUAUACUCCCGCAAUAUUCAAGAUGUUUCAGGAGCAAGUGCUUCGGACCCUGAACUAUGACACAUUUCUUUGUGAUUCAAGUGAUAAAGAGAAGAGGGUUUAUACAGUAAAAUUUCAUGGAACACAACAUGAGCAUGUUGUCAGUUUUUAUCCAAACGAAGAAAAAGUCAAUUGCAGUUGCAAGAAGUUUGAAUUUGCUGGAAUCCUCUGCUCUCAUUGCUUAAAGAUACUUGAUAUUAAUAAUAUCAAGCAUAUCCCUGAACAAUAUAUAUUGAAAAGAUGGACAAUUGAUGCCAAAAGUGCUAGAGAUAACAAGCAAUCGCAAUUUGCACGAGGAUCUAAAAGCAAGAAUGUCAAACUUUUACAAGGACUUGUGCAGAAUGUUUAUCCACAUAGCUGCUCGCGCCGCAGAGUCCGAUGAAACAUAUGAUAUGGCUGCUAAUGCGCAGAGCAGCUAGCACGAAAUGUGGAGCAAAGCUUGAAAGUUAGAGUUGAUCCAGACCCAAAUCCGGAUUUGGGUGACUCCUCUGUUUCACAAGGUAUAUAUUUAUAUACUAUACUAGUAGUUCCAUAGAGUAUUUUCAAACUAAGACUUGCAUUUAAUUUUACGGUUGCACUUGCAGGUCUGAACAUCGACUCUACUAGAGUUUCAAAGCAUAACGAGGGGCUUCACAUGCCAAGAGGUAUGAAGGUAAAGGAGAAGACUGUACGAGGGUCAGCGAGACCCGUUGGUGGCUUGGAGAAAGCAAAAACAACGAAGAAAAAGAAGAUAGAUGAUUCUUUACAACUACAACCUGAAAUGCCUUUCGCAAAUGAAAUGCCUACGAAUAACCCAAUCUUAAUGGUAUAAGAAGUCUAAGCUUUUUGACUUUAUCUACUUUUCAAACUUCUGCGACACUAAGCUUUGCUAUUAAUUUUCAUAGUGUCAAUUCGGAGAAAAUAUUGUACCAGGAUCAGGAAGACCCGUUGGUGGCUCGGAGAAAGCAAAAACAAAGAAGAAAAAGAAGGCAGUCCAUUCUUUACAACGACCUGAAAUGCCUUUGACAAACCAAACGCCUAGGUAUCUACCACAGUACAAACCAACCCAAAUGGUAUAAGAAGUGUACUUUUUAAACUAUUUUUCAUUUUCAAUCACUUAUGACCUAAGCUUUGCUAUUUAUCUGCAUAGGUUCAUCUGGGAGCUCCGCCAAAUCAUGUGUACCCCUAUUUAGCACAUUACAACCCAAGUCUGCAACAAUCCAUUGGUAUGUCGACCCCUACGAUGAUGCCAGGACAAAAUCUAUUACUCUUCCAACAACAGACUCCUACCAGUGAUACUUGUACCCCUAUGAUGAUGACAGGACAGAAUCUACCAUUCUUCCAACAACAGAAUCCUACAAUUGGUACCUCUAGCCCUACGAUGAUGCCGGAACAGAAUCUAUCAUUCUUUCAACAGCAGACUCCUACCAGUGGUACCUCUACCCCUAUGAUGAUGCCCAGACAGAAUCUAUCAUUUUUCCAGCAACAAAAUCCUACCAGUGGUACCUCUACCCCGACGAUGAUGCCAGGACAAAAUCUACCAUUCUCCCAACAACAAAAGCCAGCUUAAUCAAUGUUAUAGAUUUUUGUUUCAUGUACUUGUGUGCAAUUCUAUUAGAACCUAUGAGUAUACGACCAUGGAUUGAAGGAGACUAUCUAUGUCAAUCAGCAAGUAAUUGAAUAAGCAAUUUGUGACCGUGAUAAAUAUAGAAAUAGUAUUAUCUGUCAUGCAUCAUGUAUAAACUGUACUAUUACCAACAUCAUAGAUUUGUUUGUCUAACCUGACAAACAGACCAGUAGUCGAUGACUAUGGUAAUGGAGCGCCAUUGUCACCUGGACGAGGAUCAAUCCAACCAUAUGACUUUGCAUGCAUCGAUCUAAGGAGUAGUUUGUUCACUUAGUUGAAUUGUGGGCUCAUCCUGUAUGCAAAUAUCACCAUCAGUAGCUAUAUUAAUUUCAGUUUAUUUUCAACCAGUACACGAAACCAUCAGCAUUUUGUGCGAUGAAAGAUAUUUCGUUGCCUCUAAUAUUAAACAUCUUUAAAGAAAUAUCAAAUUGAGCACCUUCAGCACACAGAAAACAGUCAGCUAACUAGGUAUCCAGGACAUGUAGAAACUAAUUUCGGUCUAUAAUUUUGCAAUCACAUAAUUUUAGCUUUUAACGAAUCACUGUAUGGAACAAAUUAAUUUGCAAGGCCCCAAUGUGCAUGUGCGCUCAAUUGGUAGUAGCUAGCUGUUGACUUGGUCAGAUGUGAACUGAAUGGCAAGCAAACCAGAGGAUACAUCUGUAUUCUAAACAAAACAGUAAAGAGGAGGAUGAAAGGGAGCGACGGUGAGUUCCUGUACUGACCAUGGCGCGCAGCAGGCGAGGUCGGCAGCUGCGUGAAUGGUGUCGGGGCCCCGAAGACCCGCUGGAUGGCGGCCGCCCUCGUCGCUCGCCGCGGCCUCUGCCCUGCCACCGCCGCCGUGGUCUUCAAUGGCGGCACAACAGCCACCACCACCACCUCCACUAUCCCGACCCGAGCUCCACCAUGGCUGCUAGCAACUCCAAGACCUGGCCUUUAGCGCGAGGACGAAUCAAGACGGGGAGCCGGUCUUGCGACGGGAGAAGCCGCAAUCUGGGACGGGCGCGGGGCCAUAGCUGUGACAGAAGCUUCAGCCCAACUCAGGCUUGCCGCUCUCCUCCUUUCACGCCGGCGGACCUCCUGGAGGCCGCGACGACGAUACGGGGCGGUAGCAGAUCCACUCGAUGCCUCCGCUCCAGACGGUCGACUGUCGGCAGGGAAGGCGAAAAAGGAGGAACGAAUACAUAUUGGGGCAAACGGAAAUACGAGAGCUUCGUGUGUUUUUUUUCCCAGAAAAAAGACACGCGAGGGAGGAAAACUGGCGCAGCCGUUAGAUAAAGAAUUAGCGAAGGGGAGUACGGAUGGGAGCACGGGACGGGAGCAGGCAAGCCCCGUCCGAAAAGAGGGUAGCCGCCGUCGGGUUGGUCCGUGAUCCACUGGAUAGGUUGUUCGUUGCUUUUGCCCAAGUAUUUGUAGCUGCAUCGGCCAGAGGAUUCCCAGCCGGGCCAGGCCCAAGUGAUGUCCAAAGGCAAGCCCACAUGGGCUAGGGGGAGGGCCCUGACAGAUACUAUAUGAAAUAUCUCGACUUUUUACACUAAGCACUGUAACUACCCAAACAAAUAACUCCAUCGAAGCAUAAACUCAUCAGUUCCAGCCUGCAUGGCUACAGUAAUAGCCAAGCAAUCAAGCUUUUUACAGGACUCCCUUAAGGUCAAACUCUGGAGGCGUCAUCUGCCCCUCACUUUCUAGUAAACCAUCCCCCAUCCAAUAUUCACAAAUGCAAAAUGUCUUUCAGGUCCCCAACAAGAAUUUGAAGCCUAGGCACUCUGCGUGGAGAGAGGGUUGCAAAGGGGAGUCACUUUAUGGAUUUUUCAGAGCAGCCAGCCUCU
This 20380-nucleotide long non-coding RNA is filed under the name Triticum aestivum (bread wheat). RNAcentral's name for it is "long non-coding RNA (TAES_LNC020792)". Lineage: Eukaryota; Viridiplantae; Streptophyta; Magnoliopsida; Poales; Poaceae. The record is from RNAcentral.